GAAGAGCUUUUUACGGCCAUCUACAGGUAACACCCAUCACUUUGAAACCAACAACCCAUAUAAGAUUCUGUUUAUUUUUAAAGGACUUAGGAGACUCAAUCCAUUUACUCAAAUGGCACAACCCAGGAGGAAGUUGCCAUUUAAUUUAAAAUAACAUCCCCCACCCCCACUACUACCCCAGAUUUUGCUCGUCUGAUGUUUAAAUUGAUCAGAUUCCUGAGGAGGUGCAACUUGACCCUUCCUUCCAAAGGACUACUCACAAACUCAGUGUUUAUGUAGAAAAUGGAGUUCUUAUCUUUCUCCUGAGCCUUUUUGUUUUUCAAGUCUAGGUCUGCAGGUCACUAGCCUGGAAAACCUGGGAAAGGUUUGACCCAUUCAGGUGACCUUUUGUGCCUGGAAUAGGUUUAGUCAAAUGGGAUUGGAUUGCAGGCUGACCUCAGGGUGCCUGCCCUGUGUUCCAGGGGAUUUCUUUAAAGACCCUCUUCCG
RNAcentral lists this small RNA (487 nucleotides) under Pongo abelii (Sumatran orangutan). Its description in RNAcentral is "processed transcript". Lineage: Eukaryota; Metazoa; Chordata; Mammalia; Primates; Hominidae. The record is from RNAcentral.